UACGUAGGGGCCAAGCGUUGUCCGGAUUUAUUGGGCGUAAAGAGCUCGUAGGCGGUUCGGCAAGUCAGCUGUGAAAUCUCCACGCUCAACGUGGAGGGGUCAGCUGAUACUGCUGUGACUUGAGUCCGGUAGGGGAGUGUGGAAUUCCCGGUGUAGCGGUGAAAUGCGCAGAUAUCGGGAGGAACACCAGUGGAGAAGGCGGCUCACUGGUCCGGUACUGACGCUGAGGUGCGAAAGCGUGGGGAGCAAACAGG
RNAcentral lists this ribosomal RNA (254 nucleotides) under uncultured bacterium. RNAcentral describes it as "partial 16S ribosomal RNA". It matches the Rfam family "Bacterial small subunit ribosomal RNA", at positions 524 to 776 of the family's 1533-position model. The record is from RNAcentral.